Molecule: ribosomal RNA, 460 nt
Filed under: uncultured bacterium
Lineage: Bacteria
Description: partial 16S ribosomal RNA
Rfam family: Bacterial small subunit ribosomal RNA
Source: RNAcentral
CCUACGGGCGGCUGCAGUGAGGAAUAUUGGUCAAUGGGCGCUAGCCUGAACCAGCCAAGUAGCGUGAAGGAUGACUGCCCUAUGGGUGGUAAACUUCUUUUAUAUGGGAAUAAAGUGCAGUAUGUAUACUGCUUUGCAUGUACCUUAUGAAUAAGGAUCGGCUAACUCCGUGCCAGCAGCCGCGGUAAUACGGAGGUUGCGAGCGUUAUCCGGAUUUAUUGGGUUUAAAGGGAGCGUAGGCGGGUUGUUAAGUCAGUUGUGAAAGUCUGCGGCUCAACCGUAAAAUUGCAGUUGAUACUGGCAGCCUUGAGUACAGUAGAGGUAGGCGGAAUUCGUGGUGUAGCGGUGAAAUGCUUAGAUAUCGCGAAGAACUCCGAUUGCGAAGGCAGCCUGCUGGACUGUCACUGACGUUGAUGCUCGAAAGUGUGGGUAUCAAACAGGAUUAGAUACCCCAGUAGUC